Small nucleolar RNA from Octodon degus (degu), 139 nucleotides. The record is from Ensembl. Lineage: Eukaryota; Metazoa; Chordata; Mammalia; Rodentia; Octodontidae.
UCCACUGUAUGAUGUUUACACUCAACAGUUUGUUCCUGCUGGUUCAUUCAAAGGAUAGUGCAAAAGAAAUGUAGUAUCUGGCAUUGGUGGUUUUCUUGGCUUUGUGUGUGUUAUACCUGGUAUUUCUAUUGAUACACUA